RNAcentral lists this ribosomal RNA (299 nucleotides) under Streptococcus agalactiae. RNAcentral describes it as "partial 23S ribosomal RNA". It matches the Rfam family "Bacterial large subunit ribosomal RNA", at positions 2215 to 2705 of the family's 2925-position model. The record is from RNAcentral. Lineage: Bacteria; Bacillati; Bacillota; Bacilli; Lactobacillales; Streptococcaceae.
UGAGGUUCUAACUCUGUCCCGUGAUCCGGGACGAGGACCGUGUCUGGUGGGUAGUUUGACUGGGGCGGUCUCCUCCUAAAGAGUAACGGAGGAGUACGAGGGUGCGCUCAGCGUGGUCGGAAAUCACGCGUAGAGUAUAAAGGCAAAGCGCGCUUAACUGCGAGACCCACAAGUCGAGCAGGUACGAAAGUAGGUCUUAGUGAGGUUCUAACUCUGUCCCGUGAUCCGGGACGAGGACCGUGUCUGGUGGGUAGUUUGACUGGGGCGGUCUCCUCCUAAAGAGUAACGGAGGAGUACGA